GGUCCUGCGCCGAAAAUGUCCGGGGCUGAAACACGACACCGAAGCUUAGGAAUCACAUAGUGAUUGGUAGAGGAGCAUUCUUAAAACCGACGAAGCUGUACCGAAAGGAGCAGUGGAGGGAUAAGAAGAGAGAAUGCCGGAAUGAGUAGCGAGAGAAAGGUGGGAAUCCUUUCGGCCGAAUAUCUAAGGUUUCCAGAGUAAAGCUGAUCUGCUCUGGGUAAGUCGGGGCCUAAGCACAGGUCGCAAGACGUAAGCGAUGGAUAACAGGUUUAGAUUCCUGUACCACGCAUUAUCAGAACUGUAGGGACGCAUGUGGAAAGCACGAGCCGGGAAUGGAAAUACCGGUACAAGCGGGGUAGGUGUACAAUAGGCAAAUCCGUUGUAUAAUCCGAAGACGUGAUGUGGAGCGAAAUAAAGUAGCAAAGCGUGUGAGCCAUGUGCCGAGAAAAGCUGCUAUUGUGUAAUGCGUGCCCGUACCGUAAACCGACACAGGUGGAUGAGGAGAGAAUCCUAAGGCCGGCGGAAGAAGCAUUGUUAAGGAAUUCGGCAAAAUGACCCCGUAACUUCGGGAGAAGGGGUGCCUGCGAGAGCAGGCCGCAGAGAAUAGGCUCAAGCAACUGUUUAGCAAAAACACAGGUCUAUGCGAAACCGAAAGGUGAAGUAUAUGGGCUGACGCCUGCCCGGUGCUGGAAGGUUAAGAGGAGAGGUUAGCGCAAGCGAAGCUUUGAAUUUAAGCCCCAGUAAACGGCGGCCGUAACUAUAACGGUCCUAAGGUAGCGAAAUUCCUUGUCGGGUAAGUUCCGACCCGCACGAAAGGCGUAAUGAUUUGGGCACUGUCUCAACAACACACCCGGUGAAAUUGAAAUACCAGUGAAGAUGCUGGUUACCUGCGCCAGGACGGAAAGACCCCAUGGAGCUUUACUCCAGUUUGAUACUGGGAUUCGGUACUGCAUGUACAGGAUAGGUGGGAGACGAAGAAGGAUGGACGCCAGUCUGUCCGGAGUCGCUGUUGGGAUACCACCCCUGUAGUACUGGGUUUCUAACCAGUUGCCAUGAACUGGCAAUGGGACAAUGUCAGGCGGGGAGUUUGACUGGGGCGGUCGCCUCCGAAAGGGUAUCGGAGGCGCUCAAAGGUUCCCUCAGAAUGGUUGGAAACCAUUUGAAGAGUGCAAAGGCAGAAGGGAGCUUGACUGCGACACCGACGGGUGGAGCAGGUACGAAAGUAGGACUUAGUGAUCCGGUGGUAUAAAGUGGGAUUGCCAUCGCUCAACGGAUAAAAGCUACCCUGGGGAUAACAGGCUUAUCACUCCCAAGAGUUCACAUCGACGGAGUGGUUUGGCACCUCGAUGUCGGCUCAUCGCAUCCUGGGGCUGUAGCAGGUCCCAAGGGUUGGGCUGUUCGCCCAUUAAAGCGGUACGCGAGCUGGGUUCAGAACGUCGUGAGACAGUUCGGUCCCUAUCCGGCGUGGGCGUAGGAUAUUUGAGAGGAGCUGUCCUUAGUACGAGAGGACCGGGAUGGACGGACCGCUGGUGGACCGGUUGGCUUGCCAAAGCCAUGGCCGGGUAGCCAAGUCCGGAAGGGAUAAACGCUGAAGGCAUCUAAGCGUGAAGCCCCCCUCAAGAUGAGAUAUCCCUCCUUCGGGAGUAAGACCCCUUGA
Molecule: ribosomal RNA, 1657 nt
Filed under: human gut metagenome
Description: bacterial LSU rRNA
Rfam family: Bacterial large subunit ribosomal RNA
Source: RNAcentral